GACGAACGCUGGCGGCGCGCCUAACACAUGCAAGUCGAGCGAAGCUGCGGACGGGUGAGUAACACGUGAGAAACCUGCCUUUCACAAGGGGAUAGCCUCGGGAAACCGGGAUUAAUCCCCUAUGGUGAAAGAUGGUCUCGGGCUGGAUUAGCUAGUUGGUGGGGUAACGGCCCACCAAGGCCAUGAUCAGUAACCGGGCGGGGAGGGUGAACGGUCACAUUGGAAGUGGGACACGGUCAGAACUCAUACGGGAGGAAGGAGUGGGGAAUAUUGCACGAUGAGGGAAGCUAUGAUGCAGCGACGCAGGGUGAGCGAUGAAGGCUUUCGAGUCGUAAAGCUCUGUCCUAUGGGGAGCGGUACCAUAGGAGGAAGCCCCGGCUAACUACGUGCCAGCAGCCGCGGUAAUAC
Molecule: ribosomal RNA, 408 nt
Filed under: uncultured bacterium
Lineage: Bacteria
Description: partial 16S ribosomal RNA
Rfam family: Bacterial small subunit ribosomal RNA
Source: RNAcentral